This 39412-nucleotide long non-coding RNA is filed under the name Prunus persica (peach). RNAcentral's name for it is "long non-coding RNA (PPER_LNC006271)". The record is from RNAcentral. Lineage: Eukaryota; Viridiplantae; Streptophyta; Magnoliopsida; Rosales; Rosaceae.
CGUCACCGCCUUCGGGCUGAAGUCAGGCAAGAUCUGCCCCUGGGCUUGCCUGGGUUGGGUUCGUCACACUGGAGUUGGAUUUGGGCUGGCGGGGGGCCUCUUGCCCUGGCAAGGCUUGCGCGCUAGACAUGCUCUAAGUAAAAACUUAAAAAAAUGAAUAAAAUAACAAAAACUUAAAAAAAGAAAAAACAAACCAGCCAUAUCUCUUCCUUUCUCUCCCCUUCCCUUUCCUCAUCCACUCCAAUCCCAUCCCUACCCCGCAGCCACCCUACUCCAAACCUAGCCACCCCCCACCGCUCUUCUUCGCUUGUACCAACAUCACCUAUUUCGUCUCUCUCUCUUCAUCUCUGUAUCUGUCUCUGUCUUUCUCCCCCACCUAAGCAACCCCCCUCUCUCUCUCACUUUCAUGAGACGCAUCAUUCCUUGAAGCUUUCCCUAACCUUAACCCACAAAAACUCUAACAAAUCCCCUCAACAUGAUUUCAUAAUGCAAUGAAAUUAAGCUAGCCAGCAAGCUUUUGGUACUUUGUUGGGUGGGGAGUUAUUGUCUUACAAAUUGAAUUGAAAACCCCAUCAUUCAUCAGUCCAUCCUCCCUUGCGAACUCAAACCCCAGAUCCCAUGGUCCCUAGCGCACCCUUACUUGACCAGAGAACUAGCCAUCUUGUCCUAGCCCUAGGCACGACUUUGCCCAGCCAAUACCAGAGACCUAGCCACCCAGACUCACCUUCUUCUAUGCUCAUCUCAGUCUCUCCUCUGCCCCUCUCUGUGUCUCUCCCGAACCUAGCCCAGCCCCAGCCUCACCGCCGACGCACUCCGUCCCUCAUCUUUCUCUGUCUCUAUCUAUCUUUGUUUCUAUGUAGGGUUGGCUAUUCGAGGAGGAGAUUUGCAUGUCGUCGAAGAGAUUGUGGGGUUGGGUUCGUGACAACGUCAGCAUCUAGGUGCGGUGAGAACUCGAUCGGUGAGGUUGGAUCCAGUGUUGAUUGAUUUUGUACGAUUUCGGGUGAUGAAGUCGGGAAAGUUGAGGGACGGCUUGGUGUGGGGCGUGGGUGCCUAGAAGAGGGUGGGUGUAGGGUGUCGGGCUAUAAUAUUAUCAUCUUUCAACCAAAAAACAAAAAAGAGGGGGAGGUGGAUCUUGGAGCCAUGGCAACAGGGUGAGGAGAGAGAUGGGUAUUGCGAUGGAGAUCGGAGGAGGUUUUUUUGGGUGGGCUCUAAUAUUAUCAUAUUUCAACCAAAAAACAAAGAGGCUGGGGUUGGCUCAGAAAUUCCAGGUGCUGGGCUAGGGUGUUGGGUGGGCAAAUUUAGAGGUAGAGAGAGAGAGAGAAAGAAAGAAAGAGAAAGCGAGAGGGAGAGAUGAGAUUCCAAGGACGAUAGGCGAGUUGGCAUUGACGGCUGUGCUACGGGAAAGCAUCAAAGGGCUCGGUGUUUGUGCAGUGAGGUUGGGACGAUGAGUUUGGGGGGGAGGGGGGGGAGUGGGACAGGGGGUGAGUUGGGUUUGUAUUUUUUGCUUCUUAACUUUUUCUUUUUUAUUUUGAAUUUUCUCUUCUUCUUUUUUUGGUUUUUUAUUUGAUUUGAUAUUUUAAUUAUUUUAAAGAUAUUUUAUAUUAAUUUUUUGUCUACGUGGAACCCUGUUUUGCCAUAUCAGCAGUUAAUAGAAUUUUCAACCCUUCUUUUAAAGGAGGGUGUAUUUUGAAAGAUUCCUUGAAGUUGGGAUACUGGUCAAACGAGUCUUUAAAGGUUGGGAUGAGUUUGUAAUGACUUUAGUUGAUCCUAAAGAGCUCAAUCAUUCUUCUCUCUCAAGGUCACUGUCAAAUAGGGGUGGGCACGGUACGGUACGAUACGGUAUUGAGCUCGUACCGCUACCGAUACUGAGCUCGUAUCGCUACCGAUACCGGAAAUUAAAACCGGUAUGGUACAGUAUGGGAUUAUCGUUUGUCAAAGUUAGUACCGUACUAUACCGUUCCAAAUCGGUAUCGGUACCAUUUCUGUACCAAAAUAACACAACUAAAAAAUGAACCAAUUCAAUGCUCAACAUAUUCAUUCACCAAAAUAAGUGAUGCCUAAGUUAUAGAUUCAAAGAUUCAACAUAUUCAAUAUCCAAAUUCUAAUCAACCAAAUCAAUAUCCAUCAACAUAUUCAAUAUCCAAAUCAACAAAAUCCAAAGAAAUAAAAUGACAUAAAACUAACAGCUUCACCAAACUUAUGUAUGCUAAAAUCUCAACCAUGUUUAAGGCUUUCAAACCUCAGAAAGCUUGAAAAAGCUUGUACAAACAACAUAGCUCUAACAGUAGUAUAUAUAGAUAGAAAUAUUAAAUUUACAUAGCUCUGACAGUAGUAUAUAUUGGUUUUGCAUGAAACUAUCUAUCCAAGUCUCAGUCAAUCUGAACGGCUAAUAGAAUAUUCAAAAUCUUUUUGAACUUUCCAGCUUACAUUUUCCAAAAGGAUGUGGAGCACAUGCUUUCUUUGUAGAUGUGAUUGAAAGCUGUUGAGGCCCAAAAAAUCCACGGCUUGGCCCAAAUGAAUUCCCGGCUCAGCGCAAUACCUUAUUGAGAAAAAACUCAACUUUGAGCACACAAAAGUGUGCCAUGCACGAGUCACACUCCACGUGCCAUGCCAAAUAAAUAAUCCGUCAUGCUAGGAAUCGAGAUUAAGAUUAUAAAAUGCAUUAGCUCUACAAAUCAAUGCUAAUUAUCCCGUCAAGCAUAAUAAUUAAAAGCAUGCCAAGCGAUAUGCCAUGCCAAGCAGGAAAUCAUUAUUACACACCCAACCACGUUACAAGCCUAAGUGGGCCCAAGCCACUCGAAUGCCCGGGGCUUGCUUGAGUGGGUUGUGGUAUGGAUGGUAAUAAAUUGUCAUGAGGCCCAUUGAUGGGCCGAGAAAUGGAGGUUCCGGGUUGCUUGGGAGCCUCGGAACCCAAGCCCAUUUCUUAGGCCCAAACAUAUGGGUGAGCACAAAAGGAAAAAUAACCCAACCAAAAUAUCCCAACCAAAAAGCCCAAUCAAAAUGGUCCACUAAAAUUAACCCAUAUAGCCCAAUACUUGAUGAGAUUAGCCCAUUUGUUUGGUAGGUUGACUUGCUAUCUUAGAAAGCCCAUAUAAAUUAGAGGUAAGGGGCAGCAAAGGCUCCAACAUUUGGCUGAAAGACAAAGCCAUGGAAAGAGCUUGGAAGACCACGUGGGCUGCUAGAAGGGAAUGAACAAGUUUUCAAGCAAAACAUCCAAAAAGCAAAAAGAUAUUGGCGCACAAGGAGCCACCCUUCGAACCAUCAUGUAUACCAAGCUUUUUCCUUCACCAGAUCCGACCAUGAAGAAGGAAAAGAAAGGGAGAAAAAGAGAUAUCUGAAAAUGGGAAUUCAUCACUGGGCAGCUGCGGGAAAGGGAUCUUGAGCUCCCAAAAUCCCUGAUUUUGUGCAAAGGAGCAGAGUAGAUUUCACCAAAAUAGGAUGACUAAAGGGAUGAGGGGAAAAGGAAGGGAAAGACUUGGCAAAAUGGGAUGGAAGCCAUUAGGGUUUCUUGGAGAAAGAUAGCUUCCAGCGGCUAUAAAUAGGGCCUUUUCUAACCAACGAAAAUCACACACAACCAGAGAGCAAGCUUCCUCUCUUACCUGCAAAAACCCAGCAAUUUUGUGCACUAUUCACCCUUCUUCUCCAUUUUCCCUCUUCUGGGAGAUUGCUUUAGUAUUUGACAAAGUCACUGUCAAGCUGCCGGAAGAAACACUCAAGUCACCCUUUUCUUUCUCUCCCUUAUUUCUUAGCCAAAUCUACUUGCAAACCUUUCAUCUCUUAUCUGGGCACCCUCUCUUCCUUCCAAGAACACGUAAUCUUCCCUUUAGUGCUAAACUUAUGCCAAUUUUGCUUCCAUGCUACGAUUUCCUCAUGCCAAGCUAAAAACUCAUCUGUAAGCACUAAGAAUCUAUCUGUAAGCAGCCAUCAUUUUUAUUGGUGAAGGUAACCAAAGUGUUUCCUAAGGCUUUACUACCCUUUCGAAACAUUUUGGGGUCUAAUCUUUGAACUCAGACAUAGGGGAUAUUUUCUUCAGUUUACUCUUUACGGCAGCCCAGCUCAUCUGCAGCUGCCAGAAGAAAAAGGCCCCUACAAAAGCAAUGCAACUAAGCCCUCUAAAAGUCCUUUCCACAGCAAAAUAUAUAGAUUUCUCUAGUAUAAUGCAUUAAAGUAUUGAUCUCUUGGAAACUGAGGACAGAUCAAAAGAUUAUUCUUCAGUAUUCGGUACGAUACGGUAUUAAUCGGUACCAAAUAUUUGAUACCGCUACCAUACCAUAAUCUAUUGGUACGGUAUGGUACGGUACCGAAUAUAUCCCUAUUCCAAAUGAAAUCGGUAUGGUACGGUAUGGUUAGUGUACGGUUUCGGUAUUUCGGUUUUAAAUGCCCACCCCUACUGUCAAAUACAAGUCCUUGGCUAGAAAAAAAAAAAAGAAACACAUUUUCUCUUAUUAACGGAAUUUGUUUCUGAUAAUCACUACUACAAAAAGUGAAAAAGACGACCAGAAAACAACGACGGUCUCAGUGAAAACCGUCGUGGUUUUUAAAACGACGACGGUUCUAAAAACACCGUCGUUUAAUACCACCUUAGACAACUAACAAGGGAGAUUCAAAUGGCUGUUCAAAAACAACGACGUACUUAAUUAAACAACCGACGUCUAUUUGAAACAGAUUUCCGCAGUGUAAAAUCAAAGCGAACAAAGAACGGCAGAAGUUAUGAAUCGACCGACGUAGAAAGUAAAGACGACGAUUUCAAUAAAAGCCGCCGUUUUUACUUAUAAAAUAACACGACGAGGUUUUCGUAUAAGACGCUGUCUAAUUACAAACAAAUCCACGGCUGUAAAAUACAAAAUAUCGCCGUAUUAAAUUAAUUUACAACGACGACAAAUAUAAAUAUAUCGACGUCAUUAUUGUAUAGUUCUACGACGUUCUCUUUAAAUCGUACUAUAAAAUCUAACGUCGUAUUUAUGCAUUUUAUACGUCGUACCUUUAAUUUAAACCGUCGUCUUAAUAAGAAUUUUUGUUAACAAUUUUUUUCUUUGAUUUUCUUAUCCUACGUCGGUAGAUAUACUUAAUGACAAGAAUUGAAAUACCCACGACGGUUUAUAUAAAAAACCGCCGACAUAAUCAGAUUUUUCUGAGAUCCCAAGGGUUACGAAAUCUUACCAGAUGGAACUCUGUUCCACAUCAUAAUCUUAACAGAUGACACAGAUUUGAAAUCAGAGAGACAAUUUUUUGGAAGUUGAUGAUGUGUGUGCGUUUGUUUAUCUAAAAAUAUUAUACCUAACGUCGUUGCAAAUUUGCAAUCAGAGAAACAAUUUCCAACGACGGUUAUAUUAUACCUAACGACGUUUAAAACAAAAAUCAACGUCCCUAAACAAAUAUAUUACGUCGUCUUAGUCUUACUUAAGACGACGAAAAACGACGACAGUAAUACAAAAACAGUCGUUGUUUUUAUAUUCUUAUUUUAUUUAAAUUCCAGAACAUUAAUUUCCUUCAUUUUAAAUUUCCUCCGGAAAAAAAACUCUAUUUAUAACGCACUGUAAUUGAAAAAUAAACUGAAAGUUCAAGGGAAAAAAAAUUCUAUUCAUAAUUUAAAAAUUAAAAUCCACGUCAGUUAUAUUAAAUAUAACGACGUUAAAUGAAAUGAGUCCACGUCGAACUAAAAAUAUUGCGUCGUGUUAGUUAAAAACGACGUAGUUAAAUGUCACCGCCGUAUUUUUUUUUUGAAAUGGUUUUAUAUGUAAGCAACUUUUCGACUUACACAUGCACUGUUUCCAAACCCGAUUAAAAAUCUCAAUCUCCCAGAGAAACCUUUUCGUCUUUUUUCCUUGUCAGAGCAUUGUCAGAGUUUCUCAUCGUCUUCCUCUCGUCUUCUUCGUCGUCUCUGAAUUUAAACAUCGAUCAUCUUCCUCUUGCUUUCAUUGCACGCAAAAGGUAAGCUUUCAUUUUCACUAUUUUGGUUACUGUUUUGCAUGCUCAUACGUUUUUUGUUUGAAAAAUCUUUUUACCUUUUUUCUGGCCAAAAUCAUUUUACUUCUUUCCAAGUUUGAUAAAAUAUACAGACAAAGAGGGAAAGUUUCCAACUUUGAAGACAACUACCUCAACUAAAUAAGACGACGGUAGACCACGACGGUUCGUCAGUUGUUCUAGCGUCGUCUGAAAAUUGACAAAGUUGUUUUUAAUAUAAUAGUCUUUUUUUAUAUGCUUGUUUAAUUGCAGGUUUGAUUUCUCUGAACAAUGGUUUUUGUUUUUCCCUUAUUUGAUAAAAUAUAAAGAAAAAGAAACUAGGGUUGGUAUCUAAUAUAGACGAAAAAUAUCUUAUUGUUUUACGUCGUGUGAAUGUUAAUACCACGACGGUGUAUUACUAUUGACGUCGUAUGAACAUAAAUACCACGACGUUAUAUAAAUAAUAGUUUUACCACGACGGUGUAUUACUAUUGACGUCGUGUGAAUAUAUUUACCACGACGUUAUAUAAAUAAUGGUUUUAAACAUUUAUUACGUCUGAGAUUAUUUCAUUGCGUCGUCUAAAAUCAUAUCAUACGUCGUAUUUUUUUAAUACCGUCGUUUGUGUUCUUAAUGUUUUCCUGAAAUAUUUUCACUUGCAGUUUUGUCUGUUAAAAUGGUUUCUCAUCAACAAACUAAGGAUUCUGGCUCCAAGAAGCUUGGAGUGGUAGCUCCCCAAGACAAGUCUUCGAAGGAGAUGAAGUCUUCGAAGAAGAUGAAGUUUGCUUCAUCAUCUGCUGAUACAGAACCCACCAACCAGACNNNNNNNNNNNNNNNNNNNNNNNNNNNNNNNNNNNNNNNNNNNNNNNNNNNNNNNNNNNNNNNNNNNNNNNNNNNNNNNNNNNNNNNNNNNNNNNNNNNNNNNNNNNNNNNNNNNNNNNNNNNNNNNNNNNNNNNNNNNNNNNNNNNNNNNNNNNNNNNNNNNNNNNNNNNNNNNNNNNNNNNNNNNNNNNNNNNNNNNNNNNNNNNNNNNNNNNNNNNNNNNNNNNNNNNNNNNNNNNNNNNNNNNNNNNNNNNNNNNNNNNNNNNNNNNNNNNNNNNNNNNNNNNNNNNNNNNNNNNNNNNNNNNNNNNNNNNNNNNNNNNNNNNNNNNNNNNNNNNNNNNNNNNNNNNNNNNNNNNNNNNNNNNNNNNNNNNNNNNNNNNNNNNNNNNNNNNNNNNNNNNNNNNNNNNNNNNNNNNNNNNNNNNNNNNNNNNNNNNNNNNNNNNNNNNNNNNNNNNNNNNNNNNNNNNNNNNNNNNNNNNNNNNNNNNNNNNNNNNNNNNNNNNNNNNNNNNNNNNNNNNNNNNNNNNNNNNNNNNNNNNNNNNNNNNNNNNNNNNNNNNNNNNNNNNNNNNNNNNNNNNNNNNNNNNNNNNNNNNNNNNNNNNNNNNNNNNNNNNNNNNNNNNNNNNNNNNNNNNNNNNNNNNNNNNNNNNNNNNNNNNNNNNNNNNNNNNNNNNNNNNNNNNNNNNNNNNNNNNNNNNNNNNNNNNNNNNNNNNNNNNNNNNNNNNNNNNNNNNNNNNNNNNNNNNNNNNNNNNNNNNNNNNNNNNNNNNNNNNNNNNNNNNNNNNNNNNNNNNNNNNNNNNNNNNNNNNNNNNNNNNNNNNNNNNNNNNNNNNNNNNNNNNNNNNNNNNNNNNNNNNNNNNNNNNNNNNNNNNNNNNNNNNNNNNNNNNNNNNNNNNNNNNNNNNNNNNNNNNNNNNNNNNNUUUCAAACGACGCUUUAUUCAUAAACCGUCGUCUUAUAAAUUACCACGACAAUUUUUCACCGUCGUUUAAAUACUUUAAAACGACGUUUUAUUCCCUUAACCGUCGUCUUUAUUGAAUUACCACGUCAUUUUUUUUAUUUCUUUAAACAGGUUAUUGAAGUUGGUGCUUAUUCAAAAAUGGAGGCGCCAUCUUCUUUAAAAACCCUUUGUCAUUUUGUGGAAACGACACUCCUGCCUGAGGAUAAGACAGUCCAAUUUACAAUUGAUAAGGAGGUGUUUGGUGGUGAGCGCGAUACCUUCCUCCUGCCUGAAGAUAUUACACAAUUUGCAGGCAUGGAAGAAAUUGGAGCUACUGUAUUGGCUGUAUAUAUGAGGUUUGUACUUCUAAAAUAAUAACUCGUUGGUUUAUAUAUUGCGUCGUCUUAACUAACUAACCACGUCGUCUUAACUAACAACCGUCGUGAUAAAUAUAUUAUAACGUCCUCAUCUAUUUCAGUACGUCGUGUGAAAUAUUAUAAUACGUCGUUUUUUUAUACAUAACCGUCGUGUUUUGUGUGCUGACUUGUUUAUAUUAUUUUAUUUGUUUAGGUACUUACACGAUGUUUUGAAAAAAGCCAAUAUGUGCAGUAUGGUUGGCUUUAUCGACCCUGCUACAGUUAGUGCCAACUCUGGCACAAUAACUGAAAGAUCACGACUCGUAGCAGCUCGACUUCAGAAGACAGACGGUGAACAGAUUUUCAUGAUGCCUUACAAUCCAGGGUUAGUCUCCUUAGGAUUUUGUUUUUAUGAUUUUCAAUAAAUGACAGCUUAUAAACUAACCACGUCGGUGUUUUAUUUUAUUUAGUCGUUUGAAACUACUAACCACGUCGGUAUUUAUUUAUCGUCGUGAUAAAUAUAUAAUGUCGUCGUUAGCUACUUUACUUCGUCGUGUGAAAUACUAUAAUACGUCGUUUUUGUAAAUAACCGUCGUUUUUAUAUUAAUUUUGUGCAGCCGUCAUUGGAUUUUGCUGAUUGUAAGAGCAAAGAGAGAAACCGUCUAUUUUCUGGAUCCUCUGCCAGGAAAUCGUGUGGUCGAUGAAGAGGCCAAAAACAUCGUGAACAGUGCUUUAAAAAUAUAUAAUACCCACAUAGCCCGAGCAGGACGUAAAAAUGUAAUUUGGAAAACUCUCUCAGGCACACCAAAGCAACCCAGCAAUGUCGAAUGCGGGUAUUAUGUAAUGCGCUUCAUGAGGGACAUCAUCAUGGAUCCUUCCUUGGGGUUUGAGAAUAAGGUAAGAAGAAAUUACCUUCAUACAUUUCACGUCGUUUUUUGUAUUAUCAACGACGGUCGUGUAAAAUUAACGUCGUUGAAUGGAUAUACUACGUCGGUUAUGAAAAAUAUCGUCGUCUGUGAUUGAAUUUCUUUUUAUGUAUAAACCCUAAUAGUCAUUGUUUAUGCAGUAUGCCAAGGGAAACCAGGAAGCUUCAUACCCCCAAGAAGCCAUUGAUAAAGUCCGGAAUGAAUGGGCAGAGUUUGUUUUCCAAAUUAUUAAACAGGGCAAUUAUUGAACACUUGAUAUUUAUGUAUAAUGUACCAAUUUUCUCUAUAAUAUGUAAUGUAAAAAUUUGUUGAGGUUUUCUUAAAUUAAAAAAAAAACAAACAUACAAAUUGCUUAACCGACGUGUAAUACUUUUCCAACGACCUAAUAAAGUCAAUAACCGUCGUAUUUUGUUGUUGCGUGUUUUAAACAAAUACGACGUAAAAAAAUAGUUAGACGACGUUCUUUGAACAAUUGAGUCGUUAAUGGUUUACAAUAUCUUCAAUUUCUUAAGGGUUCAGGGUAUAAUCGACGACGUUUAUGUAACGACUGCGGUUAAGUCGUAAAAUAUAUAUUUUACGUCGUAUAGUUAAAUAGCCGCCAUGGUUUCUCAUUUUAACGACGUCAUUUUAACGACUUAGUAGUCUAUUACAAUUUACAACGUCUACAAUUUAUUUAACACCGACGUGGUUUGUUGUAUGGUAAGAAUAUUUUAUUAUUUUUAUAUCAAAAUAUUCAAAAUAAAUAUAAAAUAAAUCAGAAAAUUGAAAAGUCAACUCCUAUGAAGUCAUUGAUAUAUUUUCUUCCACAUAAACCUUGAAAAAAUUCAUUUUGAAUAACAAAAAUUUAAAAUGACCAUCCAAAACAAAAUUGUUUUGAUGAGUCAUAAAAUCACUUCUAGUUUAAUGGUUUAGGGUUUAGAGUCUAGGGUUUAGAGAUUAGUGUUGUUAUUUAUUGGGGUUUAUUUUUAAAGUAUAAUUUUUGGGUAGUCUAUGUUAUAUGUUAGGCUUUAAAACCAUAAAACCUUUUAUAAACUUAAUUUUUUAAAUUGUAUAAUUUAAUUUUAUGGGUUUAGUGUAUUAAUUUUUAACGACGGUGGUUGGGUCGUGGAAUACAUAUUUUACGUCGUACAGUAAAACAUACGACAUGGUUUACGCUUUAAACGACGUUAUUUUAAUAUGUAAGUCGGUUUAUAUAAUUUACAACGUCUUUAAUUUCUUAACACCGACGUGGUUUUUCAGUCGUCGUUAUAUAAAAAAUUCAAAAUAAAUUUAAAAUUAAUCCGAAAAAUCUACAAUUUAUUUAACACCGACGUGGUUUGUUGUAUGGUAAGAAUAUUUUAUUAUUUUUAUAUCAAAAUAUUCAAAAUAAAUAUAAAAUAAAUCAGAAAAUUGAAAAGUCAACUCCUAUGAAGUCAUUGAUAUAUUUUCUUCCACAUAAACCUUGAAAAAAUUCAUUUUGAAUAACAAAAAUUUAAAAUGACCAUCCAAAACAAAAUUGUUUUGAUGAGUCAUAAAAUCACUUCUAGUUUAAUGGUUUAGGGUUUAGAGUCUAGGGUUUAGAGAUUAGUGUUGUUAUUUAUUGGGGUUUAUUUUUAAAGUAUAAUUUUUGGGUAGUCUAUGUUAUAUGUUAGGCUUUAAAACCAUAAAACCUUUUAUAAACUUAAUUUUUUAAAUUGUAUAAUUUAAUUUUAUGGGUUUAGUGUAUUAAUUUUUAACGACGGUGGUUGGGUCGUGGAAUACAUAUUUUACGUCGUACAGUAAAACAUACGACAUGGUUUACGCUUUAAACGACGUUAUUUUAAUAUGUAAGUCGGUUUAUAUAAUUUACAACGUCUUUAAUUUCUUAACACCGACGUGGUUUUUCAGUCGUCGUUAUAUAAAAAAUUCAAAAUAAAUUUAAAAUUAAUCCGAAAAAUGAACGGCCUUACGUUCUUAAUCCGAAAAAUGAAGUUUCCGUCGUGGAAUAUUAAAUUUACGUCGGUACUUGUAGAACUUUCGCCUUGGUUUUUCUUUCGACGUUUUAUAACGCGCGCGCUCUAAAAAUUUUCGCGCGACCUAAAUUUUUUUAGAUUUGGCUCUUAGUCUUAUACUUUGAUCCCUGAAACCUAAAAUUUCAGAUUUCACGCGACAUAACAUUUCGCUCUCUCACUUCUGCUCUAAUUAAAAGUUGCACUCUCCAGGCUCGUCGAAUCUGUGAGCUCGUCCAACCUGUAAGUACAAACCCUAUCUUCCCCUUGUAAAUUCAUUGAAUGAUAUUAGGUUGUUUUGUUAAAGGGUUUUAGGUAUAUGCUUUGCGAUCUGUUAAUAAUGUGCUUAUAGGUAUGGGUUCAUGGAUUUUCUGUUUAAUGGGUUCAUGACAAGAUCAAAUAAAGGUGUACUUUUGCUGGAAAUCAACACAAAAAGACACAUCACCAACUUCCAAAUGAUUUCCAGCAAAAGGACACCUUUAUUUGAUCUUGUCAUUUUCCGCUCUGGAGAAGGUGCAAAGUGCACCAAUGCUUAUAGGUAUGGGUUCAUGGAUUUUCUGUUUAAUGGGUUCAUGGAUUACAUUAUCUGUUAUGUUGAAUUGGGAAUGGAUUUAAUUUUGUCGUAUCUUUUAAUCACCCUAUGUUAUGUUGAAUUGGGAAUGGAUUUAUUGUUUUCAUGCUUGGUUUCAUGUAUAUGUUGGUUUCUUGCUUGGUUUCAUAUAUAUGUUGUGUUCUUAAUGGGUUUUGUGUUCUUGAAAAUAAACUGAGACACGACGAAUUUUAAGGCGUACGACGACGAUUACACGACGGUGUUUUUAAACUACCGUCGUUGUAUUACUUAUACACGACGGUUUUUUCAUAAACCGUCGUUUGUAUUACGUAUAAUAGACGACGUCUGUUGAAAAUCCGUCGUCUAUAUAUGCCAAAUACGUCUGUUUUUGAUUAAAACCCGUCGUCUCUGUUGUUUAUUACUUGCGAUUAGAUCAUUGUAUAAUCUGCUAUAGUGAUGGUCAUUGCCUGUAUUUUCACUUUAUUAUAGAUAAUAGGUUAUAGUGUCGGAGAUGGAUAAGUCAUGGAUGCACUCGGAUAGAAGAUCGAAGGCAUAUGAGUUUGGGGUGGAAGCAUUUUUGAACUUUGCUGUAGAAAAUCUUCUAACUACAACACAUAUCCGUUGUCCAUGUGUUAAAUGUGUUAAUUUGAAGUUGUUUGGGGUUGGAAUUAUAAGGGAUCACUUAUACUUUAAUGGAAUUGACCAAAGCUAUAAGAAUUGGACAUUUCACGGAGAACCUUGGGAAGCAACUACUAAUGCUAGCAGAAAUGUUGAAGAAGAUGAUGGUCAUAGUAGGUACAGUUUUGUGUCUGAAGAAAUUGAUAUGGAUGAUAAUGAUUUUGGUGAUUUUGGUUCGGAUCCGUAUGAGUUUGCCAAUGUGAUUGGGGAUGGAGAUCAACCAGUGUACCCUGGUUGUAGAAAGUACACGAAGUUAUCGGCAUUAGUGAAGUUGUAUAAUUUGAAGGCAAAACAUGGGAUGAGUGAUGUCUGUUUUACAGAAUUAUUGAUACUUCAAGGCGAUUUGCUUCCAGAAGGAAAUACAAUACCAACCUCCAUGUAUGAGGCUAAAAAGACUUUGUGUGCAUUGGGGCUGAGUUAUGAGAAAAUGCACGCAUGCCCCAAUGAUUGCAUCUUGUAUAGGAAGGAGUAUGAGGAUUCAACUAAUUGUCCUACUUGUGGUAUCUCAAGGUGGAAGGAAGGCAAAGAUGCAAUCUUGAAAGAGGGUGUGCCAGCGAAGGUGGUGUGGUAUUUUCCCCCAAUUCCAAGGUUUAAAAGGAUGUUUCAAUCACAUGAGACAGCUAAGAGUUUGACUUGGUGGCAUGUUGCUAGAAAAUCAAUUGACGGUCAGAUGUCUCAUCCGGCGGAUUCCCCGUCUUGGAAACUUCUUGAUGAUAAAUGGCCUGAGUUUGGUAAUGAGCCGAGAAACUUGAGAUUGGCUCUUUCAUCUGAUGGAUUCAAUCCCCACAGUUCUCUAAGUAGCAGAUAUAGUUGUUGGCCGGUUAUCUUAGUUACAUAUAAUCUCCCUCCAUGGCUGUGCAUGAAACGAAAGUUCAUGAUGUUAACCUUAUUGAUUUCCGGUCCUAAACAACCCGGAAAUGAUAUAGACGUCUACUUGGAGCCUUUGAUUGAUGAUUUAAAAUCCUUGUGGGUUGGGAUUAGAGGAGUGUAUGAUGCACAUAAUGGAGAAUACUUUACACUCAGAGCUGCAUUAAUGUGGACAAUUAAUGAUUUCCCCGCCUAUGGAAACUUAUCUGGUUGUGUUGUUAAAGGAUAUAAAGCUUGUCCAAUAUGCGGCGAUGAUACACCUAGUCACAGGUUGAAAAAUGGCCACAAAAUUUGUUACAUUGGGCAUAGAAAAUGGUUACCAAUCAAUCAUCCAUAUAGGAGGCAACGUGCAGCUUUUAAUGGGAAACCUGAAUAUGGCAUACCUCCAGAGCCAUUAACCGGAGAAGAAGUGCUGCAUAUGGUUGAAAAUGGUGACAGAGUUUGUUGGAAGAAGAAAUCAAUAUUCUUUGAUCUCGAGUAUUGGAAAUACCUUCCUGUGAGGCAUGCCCUAGAUGUUAUGCACAUUGAGAAGAAUGUUUGCGAUAGUAUCAUUGGUACAUUGCUGGAGAUCCCUGGAAAAAAUAAAGAUGGGAUUGCUGCUCGAUUAGAUUUAUUGAACAUGGGGGUCAAAACUGAUUUGCAACCCGAGUAUGGAGAAAGACGUACUCGUUUGCCUCCUGGGCCUUGGAAUUUGUCAAGAGCAGAGAAGAGAGAGGUUUGCAAUUCUUUCUAUGGUAUGAAGGUCCCUGAAGGUUAUUCUUCAAAUAUUAAAAAUCUUGUAUCUGUACAAGAUUCAAGACUUCUUGGCCUUAAAUCACAUGAUUGUCAUACCUUAAUGCAACAAUUGCUCCCUGUGGCAAUUCGUUCUGUUUUGGAGAAGCCUGCAAGGUAUGCAAUAACUCGUUUGUGCUUCUUCUUCAAUGCUAUAUGUGCAAAGACUGUUGAUGUUUCCAAGCUAGAUAAGUUGGAAGAAGAUGUAGUAGUUACUCUGUGUUUGCUUGAGAAGUACUUUCCCCCUUCAUUCUUUGAUAUCAUGGUUCAUCUAGUAGUACAUCUUGUCAGAGAAGUUCGUCUAUGUGGGCCAGUAUAUUUUAGGUGGAUGUAUCCGUUUGAAAGAUAUAUGAAAGUGCUGAAGGGGUAUGUUCAGAAUCGUACUCGUCCCGAAGGUUGCAUUGCUGAGCGGUAUAUAGCUGAAGAAGCGGUAUAUAGCUGAAGAAGCGGUAGAGUUUUGUACUCAGCAUUUAUCUGAUGUUAGUACAGUUGGAGUGCCUUCAAGCCAAAAGAUGGGAGUUUCAAAGCCAUUAUCAGGUUGCACAGUGAGCGUAGUUGAUCAGGACCUGUUGAAUCAAGCACAUCUAUAUGUCUUGGAGAAUACGGAGGAAGUCCUACCUUAUAUCGAGUACGUAUGAGUUUUAUUCUUUAAGUUUCCAUUUAAAAUUAUUUCUUAUGUUUAUCUUAUAUAUUUGGGACCGUAAUGCUUGAAUUUUUCGUGUCAUGUAGGCAACAUAUGAUCCACAUCAAGACUGCUUAUCCAAAAUUUAGAAAGAGAACAAAGUGGCUGCAGGAUAAGCACAAUAGCACUUUCAUUCAAUGGCUACGCUUCAAGGUAUAUGUUGUUGAAUAACGUAUUUCUCUUUUAAUUUUCUUCUUAUUUAUAUGUUAGGAUGAAUUAAGAUAUGAUUAAUUUGCAGGUUCAAAGUGAACUUGAGGAAGACAAUCAUGGCGUAUCAGAAAAUUUAAGGUGGCUAGCAGCUGGUCCAAACAUGUCAGUGCCAUUAUAUAGGAGCUAUCUUAUUAAAGGUAUUAAAUUCAAUAUCAAGGCACAAGAUGAUGUGCGGACAACUCAAAAUAGUGGAGUUUAUUUACUUGCACAUACCAUGCAAGUUGCUAGUGCCAAGGAUAAAAACCCAAUUCUCUCAAAUAUGGGUUUCUAUGGUGUCAUUCAAGAAAUUUGGGACCUUGACUACCAAAAGUUUACAAUCCCAGUCUUUAGGUGUGAUUGGAUAGAUAGUUCUGGUCUUGUAGUCGACGAACUUGGAUUUACCCUUGUAGAUUUGAGUAAAAUUGGACAUAGGAAUGACCAAUUUGUUUUGGCUUCUCAAGUCAAACAAAUAUUUUUUGUUGACGACCCGAUGCAUCGUGGUUGGUCGGUAGUGUUAUCAAUGCCUAGUAGAGAAUAUAAUGAUGUUAUUGGUGAUGAAGUAUUAGGUGAUGUGAUAAUUGAGUGUGAGCCAUUUACUAGAGGGAUGCCAAAUGUUGACACAUUUGAUGAACUGGUAGGUGAGUUAGGCGGUCAAAAUAUUCGAGAUGGGUGUGAAGAUAUAUGGAUUGAAUGAUGCUUAUGUAAUUGGCAGUGUAUGACAUUAAUUUUGUAAUAUAUUGUAAUGUGAUUUCUUCACUUUCUACGUUCAAAUAAAACACGACGUUAUUGUGAAUCAGUUAUUCAGCAUAUUUACCGACGUCUUAAAGCAACGUAACAAUGAAGAACCACGACGCUAUUGUGAAGCAAUUAUUCAGGAUAUCACGUCGGUGAAGGAUAAAGAACCGCCAUGUAAUUCAAAAUAACACGACUCCAAUCCCAUAAUACCGACGUCUAAAAAACGAGAUAUAUAAUCUGAACGUUAAAAAAUACGACGUCAUCAUACAUUUUCCACGUCGCAAGUUCUUUUAUAAACGAAGAGGAACGAAAUUAAUUCCGACGGAAAUUCAUUAUAACCGCCGUCUAAUAACAAUUAAACGACGUUAUUUGUAAUACGGCUCCCAUCAUAAUCUACGCCGUCUAUAUGUUCUGUAAUACGGCUCUCAUUUAUUUGGAACCGACGUUGUUUAGACGUUCAACGUCGUCUAUAUUAUUAAGUGCGUCGUGAGUAAUGAAUACAUAUAAAUACAACGUCGACUAUAUAAAUGUAUACGUCGUAAAUAAUGACACUGACAACUAUUUCCACGUCAUCUUUUUUAGAAAAAUCGAAGUGGAAAAUUUAUUUCACGACGGUUUUUUGUAAAUAAGAGACGUUGUAGAACUUUAGCAGACUAAACACGUCUGUUUUUAUUGUUUUCCGACGUUGUUGUAUUUAACAACGUCUAAUAUUUAUGGUCGUUGUUUGUUUCUGAAAAUAGGACGUAUAAAUUUUUUAAUACGACUCUCAUAUAUUUGUAACUGACGUUGUUUAGUUUUUCAACGUCUACUAUAGAAACACAUACGUCGUAAAUAAUGACACUGACAACUAUUUCCACGUCAUCUUUUAUCGAAAAAUCGAAGUGGAAAAUUAAUUGUACGACGGUUGUGUUUAUAUGUGCGACGUAGUAGGUAUCAAUAACGUCGUCUUCUAAUGUAUUUAAAGACGUCAUAUUUUUUAUUGUCGUGAAAAUUAUAUUUAACGUCGGCGUAUUUUUAUUGUCGUCGUUGUAUGUCUAUCUUGCGGCCUUGUUCUCUUAAUAUGUGUCAUAUUUUCCCUUUUUAACGACGGUCUUUUUAGAGAAUUGGUCGUCUAUUAUCAUCCUCGAUUGCUUUUUUUAGAUCUUUUUGCAGUACAAAGACGUCGUUUUGUAUUUUUUGAUGACGUUGUAUUGUUUAACAACGACGGUUAUUUAGCGUCGUGGUUUAUGAGGGAAAAGAUGACGGUGGAUUCCACGACCAUUGAAAAACCAAAUACACGACGGUGAUUUACCGUCGUCUUUUUGCUUUUUUGUAGUAGUGAAUAUAUUAUGAACAGAUUUUUCCUUAAAACAAACAAAUAGUUAUAUAAAUAUAAAUCUUUUGACUAGCUUUUGAGUAGAAAAAGUGCUUUUCACCCUCAUGUUGUGUUUUUGUUUUUGAAGUAAACAUACGUGCCUCCAUCUUAUUAAUGGAAAAAAAAAAAAAAAAAGCCACGAAGUGCAUGAAAAUUUGACACUCUCUUACUUUAGAAUCACUUAAAGGAUGCUAUACGUAUUAAAAGGAGUGAUUUGAGGUGAGGUAAAAAAAAUGUGAUUAAAAUAAUGUAGCCUUGGAUCUAAUCUGUGGCAUAUUAACUGGCACUUUGGAGGACAGGUGGUGUUUUCAGUAAGCAAUUCCAAAGAAUUUCUUACAACACAAACAAAGGGAUCGCAGGGAAGUCAAUAUCAAUAUUGGAAGAGCACAAAUAAUCAAAGGAAAUGUUGAAUAUACUCACAAGGGUCAAUCGAAGUUUCAUUUUUGUUAGGCAAAUACCUAAUUUCUCAUAUCAAAGAGGGAAAUAAUGAAGCAUAAAAUAAAAGAAUCUUUUGCAUACGUGGGCUUAGCCAAAUUGAUUAGAUGAAUGUGCUUUCCGUAGUUUAGAUUAAUCUAUAUAUAUAAAGCAAAAGGCAGAGAAUGGUGAAACAUUCAAAAUACCAGAAAAUGCCCUUGGUUAAUGCAAACAUUAAGAAUUCAAAUUAUUAAUUAAAUGAGGAUAAUAUGGUAAAUUCACACUUUUUCAUAUUUAAAAAAAUUAAAAGAAAAAGAAAAAUAUAAAGCAAAAGGCAGAGAAUGGUAAAACAUUCAAAAUACCAGAAAAUGCCCUUGGUUAAUGCAAACAUUAAGAAUUCAAAUUAUUAAUUAAAUGAGGAUAAUAUGGUAAAUUCACACUUUUUCAUAUUUAAAAAAAUUAAAAGAAAAAGAAAAAGCAGAUAAUGGAUCCUAUUUUUAUGGAACACAACUACCCAUUAUCUUUUUUAAUUCUAAAAUAAAUUUACUUAUUUUUUUAAAAAAACCUCUCGCAAGCGCGGAAGCGCGUGCAGAGAGGCUAAUGUAAAAUAAAAUAUCUCUUAUAUAAAAAUAAAAAUAAUAAAAAUAAAAGAAUCGUUUGGCCAUUAUACCUAACAAAAAAGGAAGAAAAGGAUCUUUCAUAACGCAUAUAUUUAUGCCCAAACAUAGUUGAAAGUUCAACUUGGUCCAUCAUUAAAGGCAGAAUUGGGUUUUCAACAAACCCAUUUCUAUCACCACAUGAACAACAAUGAAAAGAAAUGGAAAAAGAUGGCACAAAUAGAGAGAAAAUGACACUAUGCGCCAAGCCAACACAUCAAAAACCUAUUUUAUAUGUGAUAAAAUACUAGAUUUUGAAAAACCCAAAAGUGAGAGAUUUUAAAAGAAGUCAAAAUAGACAAAAUUGCUCUUAUUUAUUUUUGGAUUUCCUAAGGAAUCCUUUACAUUUUCAUGUCUUUGAUUUGAAAGUUGAGAGGUUUUUCUGUCUUUUUUGAAAAAGCUUUAGUUUUUUCCAAAAGUGAAAGUUUUCUUUUGGUUAAAACCUAAAUUUACUUAAAAGUUAAUCCAAUUUAAUGAAUAUUAGCUUACAAGGUAACCCAAUGUUUAAAAAUAAACUCAAAACAUUCUAUAUAAGAUAAUGUGUUCAAGUGGGAGACCCGUUCAGGACAAUUACAGUAGUCAAAUUUUGUAAGGAGUUUGUAGUUUAAGUGGUUAAAAAUAAUUAUCAUGCAUCCGAAAUAAUGUGUUCAAAUCCCCCUCCCUUAAUCUAUAUAUAUAAAGCAAAAGGCAGAGAAUGGUGAAACAUUCAAAAUACCAGAAAAUGCCCUUGGUUAAUGCAAACAUUAAGAAUUAAAAUUAUUAAUUAAAUGAGGAUAAUAUGGUAAAUUCACAAUUUUUCAUAUUAAAAAAAUUAAAAUUAAAAGAAAAUUCAGAUAAUGGAUCCUAUUUUUAUGGAACACAAUUAUCCAUUAUCAUUUUUAAUUCUAAAAUAAAUUUAAAUUUUAAAAAAAAAAAAACUCUCGCAGGCGCAGAAGCGCGUGCAGAGAGGCUAGUAUUACUUAUGUGAAUAAUUAAAAAAUUAUCAAAGCAUUCAAACUUAUGUAGUUUAGAAAUUAUCCAACCAACCACAAAGUGUAGUGCGGUUGGCAAACUGCCACCUUUAAUUGGCAAGCUACCUGGUGCCUCAAUGGUAAAAGUUCGAAACCUGUUAGAAGCAUUUUAUGGUUGAACUCUGAGUAAGAAUUAAUCACAGCCUUUGAAUGUGGGGGAUGGAUGACUAUUGCUAUAAAAAAUAAAAAAUAAAUAAAAAGAUCCCAGAAAUAUUUCCUUGCUCCUUAUAUCACGGAAUGCGCACAAAAUGAAGCACCUCCUCUAAAUCAAAACCCAAUUAAAAUAUUAAUUAAACCCCAUUAAAAAAAAUAAACAAUAAUUAAUUAAUUAAUAAUAAGAUAAAACGUAGAGGUAAGAGCGGCUCAUUCACUUUCUCUCAGUCUACGUCUCCAUCUCUGGCUUUAAUGGCGAGGGCGGCGUUCCUUAAUUUCACAUACGCCAUUGAUUUUUUGACGUUCUCUCAGGCUCCUAUUAACUGCGCAGAUCCCGAGGCCUUCUCCAAACCUUCCUCGUCUUCUUCGUUUCUGAGGUUCGUGCUCUGAGCUUCGCACUUUUGUUUUUGCUUUUCAUUUCACAUCUCGAAUUUUGUUUCCGGGGAAUUUCAUUUCAUCUGAGCAAUGGGUUUGCUUGCUUGACUUGACUUCCAUUGAACUGUUCUCGGCUAUGUGAUUUGCAAUUCAAAUUAUUAUCAUACUUUGCUUUUCUGUGGUUUUCUGUGGAUCUGUGUGGGAUAGUAAUAAUAAUGCCGCUUCAGUUUCCGGAAAUUUGUUUUCCAUUUUGCUGUAUUGCUAUGUUCUAGUUCUGGCAUUCUCUUUAUUUCUAGUCUGAAUUCAUCGAUUUGAUAAUUCUUUGUUCUUUCUUAGAAGUAUCUUAGUCUAGGAAUUCAAAUCAGGGAUCAAUUUGGCUUAUUUGAAGCACGGUAUGUGAAACUGCUGAGUUCAGUUUCUGUUGACAAGAGUUGAUUAGUUUUUUUUAGGGUUUUUCUUCAAAUCUGACAAUAUGUGGGUGGGGGAUUUUUUAACAGUUUGUCCCACAGACUUGUCAUUUAAUUUGUUUUAUGUUCAAUAUACAUUGGUAAACUAGUAAAAUAUAAUCUGGUACAGCAUUGUCAAAGAGUGCUGUGCCUUUUCUGGGGUUUACUUGCACGCAAAGAGAAUGCUUCAUUUUUUUCUUUUCUUAAAUAACAUGAUUUUUUACACAGAUAGAACUAUUGGUCAAUGAUAUUCAGCUCAUAGCUUUAUGAAGACUGAGCAGUGAAGAAUCUGGUGAUCAAUUUGAAGCUAUAGGUUAAAAAUGACUUCAGCAGGCAAAGCAGAUAGGAAGGCGUCUCUUGAUGCUGCAUCAUGGUUGUUCAAUGUUGUCACAUCUGUUGGAAUAAUCAUUGUCAAUAAAUCAUUGAUGGCUACUCAUGGGUUCAGUUUCGGUAUGUUUCUGUUGUCGUGAUUUACUCACCGAAUUUCUUCAUUCGCAUUGCCUAUCUAAUCAGUUGAUUUUUUUUCUUCUUGAUGCCUUCGUUUAGAAGAUCUAUCAAUUUCUGAGGAUUUUAGUUCCUAGAAUCAUAUUGAUUGGCGAAAAGGAGGUUUUCUGUUUUACAUUUUUAAGUUUUGUAAAUUAGAUGAAACUAUCUAUUCUUGGCCUUUGGGUUUCUAUUAUCCUCUCCUGAGUCGGAAAAGUUUUAUUCACUUGCUUUUCGGAACGUUGCCUUUUUUUUUUUUACCAAAUUGUAUUCACUGCCCUUGAUGCUCUGUAAUCACUCCUCCAUUUCCCCCCAAUGAAAUGUAAAGAUGUUAAUUAUACUUAAUGAUUUAGGUUCCAAUAGUUUUAACUGAAAGUCGGUGCAGGAAAAGAAACGAAAAUACCUUUAUAAUGGAGAUGUUCCAAUUUGUUGUAGACUUUAGGCCCUUCAUUUCUUGUCAGUUGCAAGAUCAAAAUGUAGGGAUGAUGGGCAAACAAUUUGGCAUACUAAAUAAGAUAGAUUGCAUAUAGUGAUGAUAAGAUUUGGAUAGGGUACUUUUUGAAUAUACGUUUCUUAUUAGUUUUUAAAGAUUUCUCUGUAAAACUAUGAUUACCAUCAGACCAUUUUAUUUAAGUUUAAUCCUAGUAUAGUUGUAAGGUUGGUUUAUAAGCAAAAAAUUUCUCGAUGAGGAGAUUGACUUUUGUGCACUUGAGUGUCCCUGUCCUUAAGUGGAUUAAAAUCCUCUAAAUCAUAUUUUGGAAAUACUUUUUUUCUUGACGGAAAAAGUAACAAGUCUGUAAGUCUGGAUAUAAAUGCAAAAUGAUUUACUGUGGACUCUGUCCAAGUUGUAUUCUUAAUGUGUAACAGGCACGGCCACCUGCUAGUGGUGUGCAUGCUUCAUAGUCUAACAUACUGCUUCCAAAGAAACAGAAGAUUUUAUUUUGGGGUAAAUGUACCAGAAGAUUUUCAUCCAUGUUGACAUUUUUCUCUACAUAAUGUAGCUACAACAUUAACGGGUCUGCAUUUUGCCACAACAACCUUACUGACAGUUAUUCUCAAGUGGCUGGGAUAUAUACAGCCCUCUCAGCUACCAUUGCCUGAUCUUUUGAAGUUUGUUUUAUUUGCGAAUUUCUCCAUUGUCGGAAUGAAUGUGAGUUUAAUGUGGAACUCUGUGGGAUUCUAUCAGGUGAGUUUUGGUAAACUAGUGAACACUUCUCUUUCUUCGAUAUAGAUUUGAUAUGCUAACGUUCUUUUUCUUUCAAAUCUUAUUGUCAGAUCGCAAAGUUAACUAUGAUCCCAGUAUCAUGCUUUCUAGAAGUUGUCUUGGACAAUGUUCGAUACUCAAGGGGCACAAAACUAAGCAUAACAUUGGUUCUCCUUGGUGUUGCAGUUUGUACUGUUACUGAUGUGAGUGUCAAUGCCAAGGGUUUUAUAGCUGCUUUAGUGGCAGUUUGGAGCACUUCCCUGCAACAGCAUGUAAGUAACUCUUAACUGAAUUCAUGAUCUUAUAUAGAUAGCGCCAGGAUGGAAUGGGUUAGGGGUCGUUAAGCGAGUCCUGGGCUCCCGAGGCCCGACUGAAUCAAGUUUCAGUUUCAUCGGUGCUUCCAUAUUUCUACCUGUUAUUUUUAACAUGCAUACUAAAGAAAUGUUCAAGUUAUUUAACCAACUAACGAUAAUAUAAUAACCGUUUUGUUUCUAAAUGGGUGGGGCUGUGAGAUGUUGAUUAUCAGGAUCAGUUUGCGUUUAGGAUGUGAUCCUAAAUGAAAGAUUGUAUUGACUCAUGUAGGUUAACUACAAGCCCCACCUUAGCCAGAUCUGAUUUUAUAUAUCCCCUUGCAUUGUGUUACAUUGUUCAAUAUCUAUGUUUGUGCAGUAUGUACACUCUCUGCAACGGAAGUAUUCGCUUGGAUCUUUCAACUUAUUGGGACAUACUGCGCCAGUACAGGCAGCAUCUUUGCUGAUAUUGGGCCCCUUCUUGGACUACUGGUUGACAAAUAAAAUAGUUUAUGCAUAUGACUAUCAUUUGAUAUCCAUGGUAAGUUAUAUAUAUGUUGGUCUUAUUAUUUCUAGAUUUUAUUGCAAGGUUUACGUUUCUAUAGUCUAUACAAGCAUGCCUUCACAUUUGGGCCCAAUUACUUCAUGAUUCAUUUAGCCUUUACACGCUUAUGUGAUAUGUGCUUCCAUUAUUCAUGCUCAGUUGCAUGUGCUUCUAUACUUAUACACACGUCUUUGUUUGUGACUGCAUGUUCAUUAUUUUCAGUAUCAUAGUUAACCCUUCAAAAUAGUGCUAGUCUUAAGGUUUCCUAUUUAGUUUUUUACCUUGUAUAACAUGAGAAAUUUGCAUAAUAAUUAAUUGAGUCUAUCUAGCUAGAUCCUUGAUUGCUUCAAUGUAAUGUUGAUUAUUGUUUCAACUGUAAGCACUACAUGCAUGGUUGUGUUAAUUACUUCAUGUAUUUUCUGUCUACUCAAUGGGAGGCAGCUCCUAAUCUGGUGAACCGGAAAAUUUUGCUUGGCAGAUUCCAUAAGAGAUUUAUGGUGUCAAGUCAAUUAGUUUUUGCAAUAUUAUUUAUAAGGAAUAAAAACCAUCUUUCCUGUCUCUGUAUUGUAUCUCUCUGAAAAAGAGCCAAUAUUACUGCACAAAAUUCUUUGCCACUUCAAGCGUUGAUAAAAACCUUUUAAUGACAAAAACUUCACAAAUAGGAGUCUGGUUCUCCUGUGCAAUAACUCUUCUGAAUAUGCAACGUCUCUCAUUACUCUGUUGAUCCUAAUGUCUUCAUCCUAAGGUGAAUGUAAUUGAUGAUGCAUGAUCACCUACGAUAUCCUACAACCAAAUGUUUGCUUAUAAAUAGAUCUCUCUCACUCACACACAAAAACACCAACACACACUCCCUUACCCGUUGAUGAUUUUUUUUUUCUCUUUCUACCAUUAAAAUCGAACAAAGAAGUGAUCAUUCAUCGUGAUACUUCUUAAGUAUAGAUCAAUUGAUUUUCAUGUUUCGUUUAAUACACAGUUUCUUCAUUGUGGUAACCUUCAUAAGUGUACAGGUGACUUUUUUCUCUUGUAGAGCUGUGUUUCUGAUGCAGGACGCGUAGGACCUAAAUUUAUUAGUUUCCAAAUAUAUUUGUUAGUUUCCUAGAUUCUCUAGUUUUCCAAAUUCUAGUAGGAUUUCUACUUUUCCAGAUUUCCAGAUUUCUAGUUUUAAGUUUCCUAUUUUAUUUGGGUUAGGAUUUCUGUUUAAGCGAGGGAUUUUUAUCCUAUUAUUUCUAGGUUUUAGUUUGCUAUAAAUACCCCCAUGUAGUUCUUUAAAAUGCAGAUUUGAAUGUUGAGUAAACCUUUUCCUAGAACUCUCUGAUUUCGUCCCUUGGAUCUAUAUUUCUUCUCCUCAAUCUCCGAUAUUCUUCUUUGUUCUACUGUUUCUGUCCUUUAUCUCGUCUUUCGAUCUCUAUUUCUUCUCCUCAGUCUCUUAUAUUCUUCUCUGUUCUAUUGUUUAAGUGCUUAAUCUAACACCUACGGGCUGUACUACAUCAAUUUCCCUCCCAGGGGCUGAUUGGCACAAAUAUUCCUCAAUGUUAAGAAAACUUUAGCAAGAUCAUAAUACCAUAGUUCUUUUCAGACAAAUAAAAAUGAAUUGAGUUUAAAUGGUGUUGUGUGUGAACCAUGGUAGGAUUAUCCCACAAUGUAUAGAGCUGGAAACGUGCAUGCCUGUGAGCACAUAUGCGAAUACAUUUUCCUAACAGCUGCUUAUAAUGACUUGUGACAACCCACAUUUUGCUUAUGGCUGGCUAUAACUUGUGACUACGGUUAGUGAUUUGCGAUGCUAUUUGUUUCCUGCAGUCGUUAAUUGUCCUGUCUUGCACCAUUGCGGUAGGGACCAACCUCAGCCAGUUCAUCUGCAUUGGUAGAUUUACUGCUGUGUCAUUUCAAGUCCUUGGCCAUAUGAAGACAAUUCUAGUCUUGAUCCUAGGGUUCAUUUUCUUCGGGAAAGAGGGUCUCAAUCAUCAAGUAGUUAUAGGUAUGUUCAUUGCGAUAUUGGGAAUGAUCUGGUACGGCAACGCCUCAUCCAAGCCAGGGGGCAAGGAGCGUCUUCCAAGCAGCAAAUCCCAAAAGAACAGUGCUUUAUCAGAAUCUUCUGAAGUCGAUGAGAAGGUAUAGAAUUCAGCGACAGGUUGUGACAACAGUCGGGGAUAAAUCUAAAGAGAGAGAGUGAGAGAGAGCAAUAUAGGUCAGCUGAUUCAAGGAGUUUCUUCACAACCGGAAAGCCAGAUCCCUUGUUGAUUAUUAUACUUUUUUUGUUUUCACCAUAGUUCAUAUUUGUGUUCUUGAAUUUAGUCAAAGUGAAAGUUCCCAUUGCAUGGGUGUAAAAUUUCAGCCCCUGGAAGUUACCUUGUACCACAGUUAUUUUUUAUAGAAAUUUGUUUAUUAAAUUAAUUUCAGACCAUCUAAUGUGAGGUAAUAAUAUGUGGUAAACUCUAUUUUAACAGAAUUAAACCCUAUUUGUCUGUCUUCCCCUGAUGCAGUUUGGCAUUAACCAAUGAAUUCGAAAUUUUUCAUAUAUUGGGCGUCAAUAAGUUGCACUGCAUAUCAUCAGCCAUUAAAAGAGCUUUUAUGGAAGUCUGAUAUGUGUUAGGUGGGCUUAGUAUAUAGGAGAAUUCAGAAUAAUUGAAACUCUCAGAUUCUCACUCUUGGUGGUCCCAAUACACAUCAUAGAUCUGCCUAUUUAACACAACCGUACAGGACAGGCCUGUAAUAAACCAUUGUUUUGAAGCAUGGGGAAUGAUGCAUCUGUGAACAUAAAGCAAAUUCUUUGAAAUUAUGCGAUAAGGGAAUUAAGAGCGGUUAAUUUGCAUAUCAACUACUGCGUUAUGUUCUCUCAUUCUCUAAUAUUCUUCGUAUAAACAAAAAAUUUAAGGAAAUUUUGCAAGAAUACCAUCUGAACCUACAAUAUCCCAAAUUAAUUUUCCUCAUCGGCGAGCCCUAUACAUGUAGAUGAACUAAAACAUCCCUCCAAAUGAGGGGCGUGUGAUACAUUUUAACAAAAAAGUGGACGAAACAUGACAUAAAGAGUAAACUACAACACUUUAUAGAGUCAAAGUGAUUAAUAAUAAAAAUUAACAAAUUCAAUUGAGAAUCACGCAACAUGUCUAGAAGUUCAAAUAGCAUUUCUGUAAAUUUCAACAAAUAAAAAAAAAUGGAUACUGUGGACAAUCAUGGUAUGAAAUACCUGCAUACCCUUUGGUGUCACCUGGUUCUAUCACAUGCUUUGUUUGAAGUUUUAACGUUUAGGGAAAAAAAAAUAAUUCUUCCAUUUGGUCAAAGUUGGUACAUGUUUUUUAGUAAAUCAUAACAGCAUCGAAAUAAAAUUAUAAACAAAAUGAUAUUCUGGCAGUGAUUUGACUUUGAUGUAUUAAGGUGCCUCUUCACCUACUUUACUGUUCAAGUACUGCAGAUACCAGCUAUGCAUUUCUGCCGCCAUUUGCACUCCAGGUGAUUUCACCAAAAAAUAAAAAAACAUUGGUAAUGUGAAGUCUAAUGGCAGUGGCACAAUGAAAAAUGUUUUAGAAUUCGCCACGAGAGUUGGUUUAGUUGAUAGGGUUUUUACAUUGUGUAUAGUCUCAUUAGUGUUUGAGUCUCUUUGCUAGCAGUUUUUAUUGGUGCUCGAUCUGUAAUUUUCUACAUAAAUUCACAUCAACAGUAACUGACAGUUGGAUCCCAUGUGUAAGUUAUUUCAACUCGAGAUUGUGGGUUUGCCUUGACGCUGACAGUGAAAGUAGUCAAUCUUCCUCUAAACUUUAGCUCAAAAAAAAUAUAAAAUAAAAAAAUUAGAAUUCUGAUUUUUUUUUUUUUUUUGUGUGGUCCCAACUCUCAAUACUUUGUUCACAUUUAAUUAUGAGAUAUUUAUUGUUAGUCAUACAGUCAGGGAUCCAAGAAAUUUGUAAUCACUCACUGUUGAAUGUAAAUUUAACGAUUCACUCACUCUUGCACUCUUUUAAAAAACUUUUUUGAACAAUUGGAUUAAUAUCCAACGGUGGUGACCACAAUCUCUUGGACUCCUGUGGUCCAAGAAAUUUGUGGUCACUCACCGUUGGAUGUAAAUUCAACGGUUCACUCACUCUUGCACUCAUUUUAAAAAACUUUUUUAAACUAUUGGAUUAAUAUCUAAUUGUUUAGUCAUAUAUCCAUUCUUAACACCAAUAAUAUAGAUAAACCAUAUACCAUUUAUUUUUAUAAACAAACUCAAAAAAUGACAGCUGACCUUAUUGAAUUUAAUUUUCAUUAUUAAAUUACUUUGAUGCCCUAUUGAGUGUUUUGGGGCUUUUUUUAUGAGGUUUUUGGGUUGGGUUUGUUCUAAAAAAUCAAUAGCAGUUUUGUAAUUUAAAAGAAGUUAAAAGUCUUUUUGUUAUGUUGUAAAUGAGUUUUGGGUGUGAUUUUAAAGUCCAUUUCAUAUAGGGUUUUUUUUUAUAAAUAAUUUGAGCUCCUAUAUUAGGUAUAGGAGUUUUUUUUUAUAAAUAAUUUGAGCUCUUAUAUUAGGUAUAAUAGUGAAUCUUCUUUUAAUUAUUUGUAUUUCUCUAUGUACCUGAAGUCCUAAAUUUUAUUUCUUCUUUAAUAUGUUUAUAUUUUAAAUGAUAAAAAAUAAUAAUAAUUUAAAAAAAAAAAAAAGGAGUAAUAUAUUGAUAGCAGUCGCAAUUCUGCAGAGUGAUAGAAAAAGUGAGGCACAAACAGCCCCAAGGCCUAACAAAGCAAGAAAAAUGAGAGCAUGCAUAGUGUAAUUACCAGAAAAUCAUACCUAAAAUUGGUCAUGAAUAGCAAGGUUCUUUUAAUUAUUAUGGAGAAAUGAUGCACACAGAAAUCAGAUACAGAAGAAAAUUUGGUUCACAUACAGCUGCUUUGGCCCUACAUUUUAUGCCUAUCAAUUAUACCCAUGAGCUAGGGAUAGUUUGAGUUUGACCCAAGCAAGACAUUAAGGCAUUGUGGCCUAACAUUUUCAUCUCCAACCACAUCGAUUGUAAAGACUCCAUUGAAAACUUCUCUUUCAUCUUAACCAAACGUGACAUUAUUAAGAAAAACUUUACCGAAUUAUUCUGUCACGCGACAUGCGUUGUUGUAUUGUUUAAAUAUGUCACGUGGAAAAUAGGCAUAUAAAUUUCUAUCCCCGAAUCUGCCUUAUUAGCAAUAAUCGUGUGGAUAAUAUUUUCAAUAGGAUGAUAUUGUUAUGGUACAGUCUAUAUUUAUGAGACGAAGAAGACCCUUUUGCAAUUAUUUAUUUAAAAAGUAGAUGCAAAUGACAAAACUCAUAAAGGCACACGAGUGCCAUUAGCUGUAUCUCUCCUUGGGCUAGCUGGGCUUUACAAUGUGACUUCUCUGUAUUUGAAGGGUUGUCCAAUCACCCUUGUAUGGCCCAACUCUCUCCAUAGAAAUCAUAGCCAACAGAAAAAUACUCGCCUCCUUCCUCUGGAAUGGAAGUAGAAAUCCUUAUUUUUCUCCAAAUUAAAAUUUAAUAAGUGUGAAAUUAUUAUAAUAAAUUAUUUUUACAUAUGUGUCAAACUAUAAUUUAGAAAAAUAAAAAAGUUAUUAUUUCAAGAAAGAAGGCAAGCAGUGUCCUAGCCAAAAAUAAUUUGGUGGAGGUGGGGUUCGGGGGUUGUGGGUGGGGGUCAGUCCUCUUUUAAUAAGUGAUAUCUCUCACCCUCCGUGUGGCCAUUAGUUUUCAUUCUCAUUUUCCAAUUUGUACUUUGUGCUUGAUUACUUGAUAGAUAGAAAAGGAAAGACAAAGACAAAAAAAAAAAAAAAAAAGGACCAGAGGCCCACAACCUUGACCUUCUUUCCUCGUUCUUCAAACCCUAAACACAUAAACACAAAAUUAAUCAUAUUAUCUUCAUUAACACCUCCUUUAAUUAAUCACAUUUCUGUGCAUUAAAAUUUAGCCCUACUACUUAAUGUGUGGGACCAACGAAAAACCCAACAAUAAUUGCUUGUGAGUUUGUGCACGUGUGGGGGGUUAUUUUUAGAGAUUUUUAUUCAUAUUCCUUUCUUUUUAUUUGUUGAGUGCCCGAAAUCCAAUGCGCACGAUAGCAACAGAAAUAGUAAAAAUUGGGUUGGAAAUAGUAUGAAUCCACCAUUCUCUCUCUCUCUCUCUCUCUCUCUCUCUCAGAGAAGCGAAGCGUACCGUAACAGUGACAGUGACAGAAUGGCCACGCUGUCGGUGACGUUGGGGUCAAACUAAACGGCUCCGAUUGGUCCACGUCAGCACCACGGACAUGGGCACGUGUUGAUUGCAGCUGCUAGGCCCCACCCCCUCCAACUCAAGACAUCAUCAUUUUUUUGUAUAUCUCCUCAAUUUUUCAGUGCCCAUUUAUUCAAAAUUAGAUGAGAAGCUUAUCAAACUCGGGCCCAUCCGGACCCACCUGGGAAAAAUGAUGUAAAUGUGGGCCCUCAUAUUACCUAGACAAAGAAAGAGGAAUGGGUUGUGAGAGGUGAGAUGGUGACAGUCCGAUAAUCAUAUCAACCCUGAUCAAAGGAAGAAUGAAUGUGUCCAAGUGACAACCGAGCAAUUUUGUUAACGUUUUUUUGUUUAUUAAUUACGACGCUAGAAAGAAAAAAAAAAAAGUAAACGUUACGCAUGCUGGUGAAUGGGUAAGCGACACGUCGUAUAAGCGGUUAACAUUUGACAGCCAUUGAUAAGUAUCGGUGUUUGUGCACGGGAGAAAGUGACGUUAGGCGAAGAUUCACUAUUCUUUUCUUCUUUGCUGGUAAAAGAUCCAAAUAACAGUAAAAACUGAUUAUCUAUCAGUAUAGGUAUUUUCAGUCACAAUUAUUCCUUCAAAUAUGUCUCAAUUCAAUCUUAAUAAAUACUUUUCUAAAUUCCAUCUUUACCCUCGUCUUCAACAUAUCAAUAAAUUCUUAGGUGCAUUGUUAUGGUUUCAAGAAAUCCACUGAGGAAGAAAGAGUGAAGUAUUUCAUCAAAGCACAUAUCUAUCUACUAUAAAUAUAUAACCACAUGCUUCACACAUGUAUAUUUCAAUAAGAGAGUGUAAUGGUCAAGUUUGGAAGUUUGCCAUGGUUAUGGCAAAUCACAAUGCCCACUUUUGUUUUUUUAUUUUUUUUAAUUAUAAUUUUGUGUUGGAAUGAUAACUUGUUCGUUAAGAAUACUAGCCUCUUCGCACGUGCUUCCGCACCGUCGAGAGGCCUUUUUAAAAAAACUUAAAUUUAGUUUAUAAUUAAAAAAAGAUAAUGGAUAGUUGUGUUCCAUAAAAAUAGGAUCAAUUAUCUGAUUUUUCUUUUAAUUUUAAUUUUUUUUAAAUAUGAAAAAGUGUGAAUUUACCAUAUUAUCCUCAUUUAAUUAACAAUUUCAAUUCUUAAUGUUUGCAUUAACCACGAGCAUUUUCUGGUAUUUUGAAUGUUUUACUAUUUUCUGUCUUUGGCUUUAUAUAUAUAGAUUUUAUUCAGAAAUAAAUUUUCACUUAAACAACUCUAGCCCUACUUCUUUGUAUUUUCGCUGAACCAUAGAUGUUUUUCUUGUUGAGCCUCGCUCUUUCUUUCCCUAUCUCUUCCUCUUUAUGUCUUAAGAACUUUCUCUCUUCUACCUAUUUCUCCCUUAUUCACCACUUCCUCUUUUUUGAAGGAUGCAUACACUUUUUAGGUUAAUAAAGCGACAAUCAUGAUAUUGCAUUUAAUCUCUAGGCAACGGAAGCAAUGGAUUAAAACUUUGAGCUUUAAAACAAAUCCAACCCAAGUAUCUUUAAGCCUAAGCUUAGAUUGUUCCAACCAAGACUCUAUACACCAAGAGAGAGGGAAAUGAAAACUUUUUUACCUUUGUAGCACUACCAAUAGGAAACUCUUAGGUUGAUUAGCUAAGGAUGGGCCUUCAACACCAACAAGAAUUUCUCAAGCAGUCCAAAAGAGGGUGCUCUAUGUUUCCACACCAAAGAAAAGAGAAGGAUGAAGAUUAAUCUAGAAGGUUGGAUUUGCUAGAAUCCCCUCCUAGAUGGUUGACCCCUUUAGUAGAGAACGAGAGGAUUUGGUUUGCCUCUUAACUCAAGAACACAAGAGAAAACCCUAAGAUGAGAUGAUACCAUCUUUAUCUAUAUAAAGGGGUUCAAAUAACCCAUGUGGCCUCACCCAAACCCUAUGGCCAGUUUUGGCCUUGUUACUCGUAAGUUUUUAACUACAACUUAACUUACAAGCCCAAUGGGUCCAACCCCGAUGGGCCUUGUGAUCCCAAAAUGAUUUUAGGCCCAAUCCAAAUUUCCCGAGCCGUGAUGAAUUAAUUAAUCCUUGUUCAUCAUCUCCUAAUUAAUUUCAUCUCUAGCCCUUAUGGGUAUACGAUCCAUUAGGUUUUAAUAGGCAAAGGUAGUGGGCAAUUCGAAAUCUUUCUUAAUCGAUUAUGAAUUAAAAAUCCUUUUUAAUUCUCUCUUUAAUGAGGACCCACAUUUAGUAUAUCCUCAAAGUUUCCACAAGUCAUGGGUAACAUCUACAAUCGUGCCAUGACUAUCCAACCCGAUAUAGAAGUGGUAGAGAACCUAUUCAGUUGGAAUUACAGUGUAAUUCGGUCCUUCUCUAACUCAAUGCUCUUGUUCACAUCAUUAAGGCUCCGAAUACAUGUUAAGCCCGUAAUGUAAACUCUUAAGCUUAUAUGAUUCAUAAGAGCAUGAUCAGAAUCUCUAUUCUCAAUCGUAGUCAAUGCUUUGGCUAAAGACUUCUUAAUCAUAUCACCAGAGCAUUCUCUCUCUUUACAGAAGGUAUAGAUCCCUUGUUGUACACUCAUCUACCUCUAUGGAGUGAUCAUGAACCCUAACCAUACCUUGGAGUCAUUCCUUCGAAAGAACUCGACUAUUUAUUCUUAUCAAAGACCCGCAACGCUUCCAUAAGACAGUUGUGAUGCCUUAGGUCAUGGCUAAAUAUCUUAUUUGACUAUGUAGGUAAAACUUCCAUACAAAAUCUCUUGCUUGAUCACGUUGAAUGAAUUCAUUCUCUAAUGAACACCAAUACACCUAUCUUAGUGUCACCUACACAAAUGACUUGAGACCAAUCAUCCUUCCAAUUGAGCAUAUAUGGUGUAUGCCGGUCUUUGUGGAUCGUUAAUGCCUAGUUGGAUGAUCCUAUGACUAAGAACUCUUUAGAGUGUGAGCUAUAGGGAAAGGUGUCCUAGAUCUAACUUCCUUAGAUCUCUUUCCUCAUCUCACAGUCCAUGGACUUGUUGAUUAAGUAAAUAAUAGUUAAUGAGACAUAUACUUAAAUCAACAUCAAUUCCCCUUUAUAUCAACAACGUCUGAAAUAUCCAAAAGUUUACAUAUCAUACUUGGCUUUAGUUCAUAUUUCCAACAUUUUUAUCUUCAACCAAACUGAAAAUAGGCCAAACCAAACCAAAACCGUAUAGGUUCAGUCGGUUCCUCUAGACACUGUGUAUGAAACCCAUGGUACUUUGUAUGAAAACCCAACCAAACCAGAUUGUGCCCAUCCCUAGAUAAUUAUGUACUUUGAAAGUUUAAACUUGCGCAAGAAAACUCAAUUUAACUAGCAUAACUAUCUUACUAAACUAAAUAUACUAUAUGUUGGUAAAAAUAUAAAGAUAAUUGCUAUAUUUACAGAAUUUUGAAAAUAAAACUUCACUAUAAAUUCGAAAUAAAUACAAGAAAAUAACGACAAGGUAAAUGUUAAGAAUACUUUACAGAUGAUUGAGUCUAGAACUUGGUUCUAUCUCCUUAAGAAGAAAUUGCCUCCUCACAGGUGCUUUUAGAAUUUGUUUGGCAAAUGUCUCCCAGGAUACAACAUUGACUUCUUGUUGAAGUAGCACUACAAUCCCCAAGAAAAGCGGACUCAAACUUGUGUAUGAAUUCUCUCUUACUAACUCACUAUAUUUCUUAAAAAAUAUAAUGCUAUGAAUGCUCUAAAGACUACUAUUGUCGAAUACAAUUGGAUGAAUGAAAUGUUGUAGGAUCUUCUCUAUUUAUAGGCAACAAUGUAAAAUCCCACAUCAACCAAUGAAGAGGGGGCGAUGUGCCUUAUAUGUGCACACCCGCAUUCAUCUAGCACGAGGCCUUUUGGGAGCUCACUGGCUUCGGAGUCGUAGGAACUCCGAAGUUGAGGGAGUUGGGGGCUAGAGCAAUCCCAGGAUGGGUGACCCACUAGGAAGUUGCUCGUGAAUUCCCAGAAACAAAACCGUGAGGGCCAGAGAGGGGGGCCCAAAACGGACAAUAUCGUGCUACGGCGGAGCCGAUUCCGGGAUGUGACAAUUUGGUAUCAGAGCCACUCUGCCGUGUGGUGCGAGUGUGCCGACGAGGACGUCGGGCCCUUAAGGGGGGUGGAUUGUAAGAUCCCACAUCAACCAAUAGAGAGGGGGGGAUGUGCCUUAUAUGUGCACACCCGCAUUCAUCUAGCACGAGGCCUUUUGGGAGCUCACUGGCUUCGGAGUCGUAGGAACUCCGAAGUUGAGGGAGUUGGGGGCUAGAGCAAUCCCAGGAUGGGUGACCCACUGGGAAGUUGCUCGUGAGUUCCCAGAAACAAAACCGUGAGGGCCAGAGAGGGGGCCCCAAAGCGGACAAUAUCGUGCUAUGGCGGAGCCGAUUUCGGGAUGUGACAAACAAGGCCUUUAUUCAGAAAAGAUGUGAUUGAAAAAUAUCAACAAAUGUGUCUUUUCAUGUUGCAACCAUAAGCCAAGAAGUGCAAUGUUUCAUUUAUUAUGAAACAAUGCAACUUAGGCCAAGAAGUGCAGUGUUUCAAUUUCUAUGAAACAAUCAAACUUUUCAUAUAUGAAACAAUGCAACUUAAGGCAAGAAGUGCAAUGAAACAAUGCAACUUUUCAUAUAUGAAACAAUGCAACUUAUCACAUAAAGUAUUAUUAUUUUACAAACAAAAUAAAUAAUAUUUUAUUUUUCCUCGGCUAAGAACAUGACUAUUCCCAGUGGAUACAUACCAAUUCAUAAAAUUCAUGUACUUAAAGUCACAAGUCCCAAAAUUUUAAUUUUCAUUAAAUUAUUAAAAAAUUAAAUAUAAAUAUUAUAAUUUUCUAACAUUAUAUUAGAUGUAUUAUAAAGAGUUAUUCUAUGUUAAGGGAUCUCUUAGCUUAAUAAUAUUCCAUACAUUUGUCCUAGGGUUUCUCCCACAAUGUAGUUCAACAACUGGAACCGUCUAUGUUUUAAAUUAUUCUUCAAAGGUCAUCCUUAGAAAAAAACUAUCCAAAUAGGAAAUUGUUUGGUCAUCUACACAAAAGACACAUUCAUUAGAUAAACUUGGAACUAGCUAAUCAAAUAAUUAAACAAUUUCCAAUUUAGUUGAUUUUUUUGGAUAAUCCUUGAAAGAGAACGUUAUAAUUGAAUUGUUCCGAUCAUUGGAUUACAACCCAAAAGUAAGAUGUAUUUAUUUAUCUUAAAUAUGGAGAUCCUUACUAGGUAAAGCCUUUUGCCAUUUGCCCAUAUGAUAUAUGUUCUCAUAGUUACUAACAAACUAAUAUAUAUGAGUGAUGUUAUUGCACCUACGAAGGUCAUCAAAUCCAUAAAAGUGUUCGGGUCCUCCAAAUGGUGAGGGAGGGUGAGGAAAUAGGUUAAGAGUCUUAAAAACCUAGGGUUUUCCUUAAUAGCCGCAUGUACUAUAGAAGGGGGUUCUUCCACCCAUUAAGUAGUGAUAAUUGUUGUCUUUUAUAGUUAAUAACAUAUUUAGGGUUGGAAUAGUGGUACUUUGUAGUUCAAUUUUUUUUUUAAUUUUAAAUUUAAAUUUAAAUUUUUUAAUCGGGGAAGGGUGGUCAUUUUAUCAGGAAGGCUAUUAUGGUGAAAUGUUCAAAUAGUCCAAAUAGGCCCUAAUUUAAUAAGUAUUUUCAAAACACAACUAUUUCAAUUUAAAAAGGCAAAUAUGUAAAACAAUAUUAUAUUACAAUAUAAAUAAUAAUAAAAAAUUCCGUGUCCACAUAAAAAACAUAUUUUAUUUUAAGAUAAAAUAAACAAAAAAAGUUAAAAACUACUAUAUAAAUAAAACUAAUAACAUUAUAAAUCUUAAAAUAGUAAAACAAAAGGCUUAUUUUCAUAUUUUUUUUGAGUUUAUUGUCCAAAUUUGAAUUUCCACAUUUACACCUCAUGUUCGUAUGUGUACGCAGUGAUUGUUUUUUUUUUCUUGUCUUGUUUUUGUUUUGUGUACAAAGUUUUAGUAUUCUUUUAAGCUAUACUUAGCUAAGUUUAUCACAUUAAGCAAUAAGUUAUUUGGUGAAAAUAAGGAGAAGGAGAUUGGUAAAAUGCUAUUUGGUAAAUUUUUCAGACUAGAUAUUUAGUAUGUUUAUGUUAUUUUUAUACAAGCGAGGGAAGAUGAAUCAAAUACAUAACCUAACGUGCAUGGGUAAAUACUCUUAAUCACUUGAGUUGCAAGCUGCAAUCCUAUUGUAUAUUAUGUAAACAAAAUAUUGUUAGUGAGAUAAUAUAAUCUCCACUGCGUACUUAUCUCUUAACUUAAGAGCAUUCACCUCCGCACUCGAGGUCCUAAGUUUAAUUCCACCAUUCUGAAUAUUGCUUUUAUAAAAAAAAAUAAAAACAAAAAAAUUAUUUAGUAGGAUAAUUUUAUAAUUUUAAAUUACAGUAAUAAGAAGGUAAAAUAAGAUUUUUGUAUCCGUUAAAAUUCAUAGUUUCUUUGUAUUUUUGUAUAAGAUAAAAAUGAAAAGAAAUGCAAUAUAAUAUGAUAGGUCUGAAACAUUUAAAAAAUAAAUAAACAUAAAUAAAAAAAAAAUACAAAAGACACAUAUCGUAAAAUGAGUCAUCUCAAUAACAAUAUAGCACAAGAAUAACAAAGCUUAAAAAAGAAAAAGAAGUCCAUAUAAAAUUGACCAGAUCCCUUAAUUUUUGUAUUUGAUAAGACCAGAUCCCUUAAUUAAAAAAGUGCCAAUAAAUUAAGAGGCUGGAAUCUUCAUUAAUCGACAGUGAUGGAUGUAUCAUUGGUUUUGAUCUCUCAGUUCAUCUCACGUACGCAGAAAGAAAGCCAUAAAGCUAGAGAGACAAGCAGAUAAUAGUCCCCAUAAUUAAGCCUUGAGGAGAGAGAGAGAGAGAGAGAGAGAGAGAGUGGUUUUCUUAAACUCCUCCAUUACAGAAACAAAGGAAAAAGAUAACUGAGAGUUAAAAGAAUGAUUGAUAAUAAAAGAAGAAGAAGAAGAAGAAGAUUAAAAGGUGAUUUUAAAGAAAAAAAGUAGAGAGAGAGUGUAAAUUCAGACAAACAGACAGGCAGAGAGAGAGAGAGAGUCACAUGGCAUGUGAGCAAUCCCUGUGUCCACUCCCUCCACUUGAUAAAUACCCUUCUUACCUUCCUCAUUCCGACUUUUGACUCUCUCUCUCUCUCUCUCUCUCUCUCUCUCUCUCUCUCUAUCUAAACCAGCAGGUAUAGCUUCUGAGCUCUCUCUAAUGGCAGACCUCAGAACAUAAAACCAAAACCAUUUCUCUUAGCACCUCAAAACUGCACUUACAAAAUGAAACUCCACAAAGCUAUUUCACAGCACCACACUCACUUCUCCUUCCCCUUCCUUCUCCUUCUUCUUCACUUACUCUUUCUCCAAGCCUUCUCUGCAUCACGCCCAGCAUCCUCAUCUUCUUCGUCUUCUGCUUACAGAGACACCCAGAAGCUCCUCAACUUCAAAUACUCUCUUCCAAGCCCAACCCUUCUCCCCAACUGGCUCCCCAACCAAAACCCAUGUGCCUUUAAUGGUAUUUCCUGCAAGCAAACCGGGGUUUCCUCCAUAGACCUCAGCGGCACCGCCUUAAACACCAAUCUCACCCUUGUCUCCACUUUCUUGAUGACACUUGAUUCUCUUGAAUUUCUCACUCUAAAAUCAACUUCUCUCUCUGGCUCCAUCUCUUUCCCUCCUAAAUCCAAGUGCAGCCCUCUCCUCACCACCAUAGAUCUAGCUGAGAACUCCUUGUCAGGCCCAAUAUCUGAUGUCUCCAGCUUGGGUGCUUGCUCUGCCUUGAAGUUUCUCAAUCUCUCUUCAAACUCUCUUGAUUUCUUCACCAAGGACUCUACUGGGUUCAGGCUCAGCCUCCAGGUUCUUGAUCUUUCAUACAACAAGAUUUCCGGCCCAAACGUGGUCCCUUUGAUAUUAUCCAACGGUUGUGGUGACUUGCAGCAACUGGUUUUGAAAGGGAACAAGAUAUCAGGGGAGAUGAGCAGUGUUUCUAGCUGCAAGAAAUUGGAGCACUUAGACUUGUCCUCCAACAAUUUCUCUGUUUCCGUUCCUUCUUUUGGUGAUUGCUUGGCUUUGGACCACCUUGACAUCUCUGGAAACAAGUUUUCAGGCGACAUUGGGCGUGCUAUAUCUGCCUGCAGCCAGCUCACUUUCUUGAACCUCUCUGUCAACCACUUCUAUGGUCAAGUUCCAGACAUGCCCACAAAGAAGUUGAAGAUUCUUUCACUUGCAGGAAAUGGGUUUCAAGGUACAUUUCCUAUGAACUUAUUGGAUACUUGUGCAGAGCUUGUGGAGCUCGAUCUUUCGUCCAAUAGCCUUACCGGUACGGUUCCUGAUGCUUUGACCUCUUGUACUUUGUUGGAGUCCUUGGACCUGUCCAGAAAUAAUUUAUCUGGUGAAUUGCCUAUUGAGAUUUUGAUGAAGCUUAGCAACUUAAAGGCUGUGUCUCUUUCUUUGAACAAUUUUUUUGGUCGUCUGCCUGAUUCUCUGUCCAAGCUUGCAACUUUGGAGAGUUUGGAUCUCAGUUCCAACAAUUUGUCUGGGCCAAUUCCUGUUGGGCUCUGUGGAGAUCCCAGGAACAGCUGGAAGGAGUUGUACCUUCAGAACAAUCUGUUCAUUGGUACUAUUCCUCCAACUCUGAGCAACUGUUCUCAGCUGGUUUCUCUUGAUUUGAGCUUCAAUUACCUCACGGGCACUAUCCCUUCAAGCUUGGGGUCUCUGUCGAACCUUCGUGAUUUGAUCAUUUGGUUGAAUAAGCUUAGUGGGGAAAUCCCACAAGAGCUAACGAACCUUGGGUCACUUGAGAAUCUUAUUCUAGACUUCAAUGAGCUGACUGGGUCCCUUCCUGUUGGGCUAAGCAACUGCACCAGUUUGAAUUGGAUUUCAUUGUCAAACAACAAGUUGAGCGGUGAGAUUCCUGGGUGGAUUGGGAAGCUUACAAAACUUGCAAUACUCAAACUCAGUAACAACUCAUUCUAUGGAAACAUUCCUCCGGAGCUCGGUGACUGUAAGAGCUUGAUAUGGUUGGAUCUCAAUACCAACUUCUUGAAUGGUACAAUCCCGCCUGCGCUUUUCAAACAGUCUGGCAACAUUGCAGUGAAUUUUAUUGUUUCCAAAACGUACGCAUAUAUCAAGAAUGAUGGUAGCAAAGAGUGCCAUGGAGCAGGGAAUUUGCUCGAGUUUGCGGGGAUCAGAGACGAGCAUCUGAACAGGAUUUCGGCAAGAAAUCCUUGCAACUUCACUAGAGUGUACAGAGGUAUGAUCCAACCAACGUUUAACCACAAUGGGUCUAUGAUUUUUCUUGAUCUUUCACAUAAUUUGUUAUCCGGUAGCAUUCCCAAAGAGAUCGGGAAGAUGUACUAUCUCUAUAUUUUGAAUUUGGGCCAUAACAACAUAUCUGGUUCAAUCCCAGAAGAGCUUGGAAAAUUGAGAAGCGUUAACAUUCUUGAUCUCUCUAGCAAUAUUCUUGAGGGAACUAUUCCACAGGCUCUGACUGGCCUUUCCUUGCUCAUGGAGAUUGAUCUAUCAAACAACCAUUUAUCUGGAAUGAUUCCAGAGUCGGGUCAAUUUGAGACAUUCCCUGCCUACAGAUUCAUCAACAAUUCAGGCCUCUGUGGCUACCCUUUAUCUCCAUGUGGCGGAGCUUCUGGGCCAAAUGCAAAUGCGCAUCAAAAGUCUCAUCGACGACAAGCAUCCCUGGUGGGCAGUGUGGCAAUGGGAUUGCUCUUCUCCCUUUUCUGCAUCUUUGGUUUGCUUAUUGUUGCCAUCGAAACCAAGAAAAGGCGAAAAAAGAAGGAUUCAGCCCUUGAUGUUUAUAUCGACAGUCGUAACCAAUCAGGCACUGUCAAUGGCUGGAAGCUACCUGGCACUAAGGAAGCGUUAAGCAUCAACCUUGCCACAUUUGAGAAGCCCCUUCAAAAGCUCACUUUCGCAGACCUUCUUGAGGCCACCAAUGGUUUCCAUGACGACAGCCUUAUAGGCUCUGGUGGUUUUGGUGAUGUAUACAAGGCCAAACUGAAAGAUGGCAGCAUUGUAGCCAUCAAGAAAUUGAUACACAUCAGUGGACAGGGUGAUCGUGAAUUCACUGCUGAAAUGGAAACAAUAGGGAAGAUCAAACACCGAAACCUUGUUCCCCUCCUUGGAUACUGCAAAGUAGGAGAAGAACGGCUUUUGGUUUAUGAGUACAUGAAGUAUGGAAGUUUAGAUGAUGUUUUACAUGAGCCAAAGAAAGCUGGCAUCAAGCUGAACUGGGCUGCAAGGAGGAAAAUUGCGAUUGGGUCUGCGAGGGGACUGGCCUUUCUUCACCACAAUUGCAUCCCACACAUCAUUCAUAGGGACAUGAAAUCGAGCAACGUGCUGCUCGAUGAAAAUUUGGAAGCCAGAGUCUCUGAUUUUGGAAUGGCAAGGCUUAUGAGUGCAAUGGACACCCAUUUGAGCGUGAGCACUCUAGCAGGCACACCUGGUUAUGUCCCUCCUGAAUACUACCAGAGCUUCAGAUGUUCUACGAAAGGUGAUGUUUAUAGUUAUGGUGUAGUAUUGCUUGAGUUGCUGACAGGAAAGCGUCCUACAGAUUCAGCAGAUUUUGGUGACAAUAAUCUUGUGGGUUGGGUAAAACAACAUGCAAAAUUGAAAAUAAGUGAUGUUUUUGAUCCAGAGCUCAUGAAAGAGGACGAGAGCGUUGAGAUUGAGCUUUUACAGCAUUUAAAGGUAGCUUGUGCUUGUUUGGAGGAUAGGGCAUGGCGGCGUCCCACAAUGAUUCAAGUCAUGGCAAUGUUCAAGGAAAUCCAAACAGGGUCCGGGAUUGACUCUCAAUCAACCAUAGCCACUGACGACGGAGGUUUUGGUGCAGUUGAAAUGGUAGAGAUGAGCAUAAAAGAAGUCCCUGAAAGCAAGCAGUAGCCCAAAAAGCCAAGCCAAUUUUCAAAUGAAUUCUUUGGAAGAAAGAAG